UUUGGGUUUUUAACUUAGGUUUGGGUGGCGGACGGGUGAGUAACGCGUAAAGAACUUGCCUCACAGCUAGGGACAACAUUUGGAAACGAAUGCUAAUACCUAAUAUUAUGAUAAUAGGGCAUCCUAUAAUUAUGAAAGCUAUAAGCGCUGUGAGAGAGCUUUGCGUCCCAUUAGCUAGUUGGAGAGGUAACGGCUCACCAAGGCGAUGAUGGGUAGCCGGCCUGAGAGGGUGAUCGGCCACAAGGGGACUGAGACGCGGCCCUUACUCCUACGGGAGGCAGCAGUGGGGAAUAUUGGACAAUGGACCAAGAGUCUGAUCCAGCAAUUCUGUGUGCACGAUGAAGUUUUUCGGAAUGUAAAGUGCUUUCAGUUGGGAAGAAAAAAAUGACGGUACCAACAGAAGAAGUGACGGCUAAAUACGUGCCAGCAGCCGCGGUAAUACGUAUGUCACGAGCGUUAUCCGGAUUUAUUGGGCGUAAAGCGCGUCUAGGUGGUUAUAUAAGUCUGAUGUGAAAAUGCAGGGCUCAACUCUGUAUUGCGUUGGAAACUGUAUAACUAGAGUACUGGAGAGGUAAGCGGAACUACAAGUGUAGAGGUGAAAUUCGUAGAUAUUUGUAGGAAUGCCGAUGGGGAAGCCAGCUUACUGGACAGAUACUGACGCUGAAGCGCGAAAGCGUGGGUAGCAAACAGGAUUAGAUACCCUGGUAGUCCACGCCGUAAACGAUGAUUACUAGGUGUUGGGGGUCGAACCUCAGCGCCCAAGCAAACGCGAUA
Molecule: ribosomal RNA, 774 nt
Filed under: uncultured Fusobacterium sp.
Lineage: Bacteria; Fusobacteriati; Fusobacteriota; Fusobacteriia; Fusobacteriales; Fusobacteriaceae
Description: bacterial SSU rRNA
Rfam family: Bacterial small subunit ribosomal RNA
Source: RNAcentral